GACGAACGCUGGCGGCGUGCUUAACACAUGCAAGUCGAACGGAAAGGCCCCUUUGGGGGUACUCGAGUGGCGAACGGGUGAGUAACACGUGAGUAACCUGCCCUUGACUUCGGGAUAACUUCAGGAAACUGGGGCUAAUACCGGAUAGGAAUCCUUGCUGCAUGGUGGGGGUUGGAAAGCUUCGGCGGUUUUGGAUGGACUCGCGGCUUAUCAGCUUGUUGGUGGGGUAGUGGCUUACCAAGGCUUUGACGGGUAGCCGGCCUGAGAGGGCGACCGGCCACAUUGGGACUGAGAUACGGCCCAGACUCCUACGGGAGGCAGCAGUGGGGAAUAUUGCACAAUGGGCGGAAGCCUGAUGCAGCAACGCCGCGUGCGGGAUGACGGCCUUCGGGUUGUAAACCGCUUUCAGCAGGGGCGAAGCUUGUGGUGACGGUACCUGCAGAAGAAGCACCGGCUAACAACGUG
RNAcentral lists this ribosomal RNA (465 nucleotides) under uncultured bacterium. Its description in RNAcentral is "partial 16S ribosomal RNA". It matches the Rfam family "Bacterial small subunit ribosomal RNA", at positions 28 to 507 of the family's 1533-position model. The record is from RNAcentral.